RNAcentral lists this ribosomal RNA (253 nucleotides) under uncultured bacterium. RNAcentral describes it as "partial 16S ribosomal RNA". It matches the Rfam family "Bacterial small subunit ribosomal RNA", at positions 524 to 776 of the family's 1533-position model. The record is from RNAcentral.
GACGGAGGGUGCUAGCGUUGUUCGGAAUUAUUGGGCGUAAAGAGCUUGUAGGCGGUCUGUCGCGUCUGCUGUGAAAAUCCGGGGCUCAACCCCGGACUUGCAGUGGGUACGGGCAGACUAGAGUGUGGUAGGGGAGACUGGAAUUCCUGGUGUAGCGGUGAAAUGCGCAGAUAUCAGGAGGAACACCGAUGGCGAAGGCAGGUCUCUGGGCCACUACUGACGCUGAGAAGCGAAAGCAUGGGGAGCGAACAGG